Molecule: transfer RNA, 92 nt
Filed under: Microcoleus sp. PH2017_34_RAT_O_A
Lineage: Bacteria; Bacillati; Cyanobacteriota; Cyanophyceae; Oscillatoriales; Microcoleaceae
Also listed under: 1 other name
Description: tRNA-Gly
Source: RNAcentral
GGGGAUGUAAACCUUUGCCAGUAUAGGGUUUCCUGAGUUAUGCCUAGUGCUUCCCAUGCUGAACGUCGUGGGUUCGAGUCCCACCGUCCGCU